CUUAAAUUGAAGAGUUUGAUCAUGGCUCAGAUUGAACGCUGGCGGCAGGCCUAACACAUGCAAGUCGAGCGGAAACGAGUUAACUGAACCUUCGGGGGACGAUAACGGCGUCGAGCGGCGGACGGGUGAGUAAUGCCUAGGAAAUUGCCCUGAUGUGGGGGAUAACCAU
This 169-nucleotide ribosomal RNA is filed under the name Vibrio parahaemolyticus. RNAcentral's name for it is "partial 16S ribosomal RNA". It matches the Rfam family "Bacterial small subunit ribosomal RNA", at positions 1 to 150 of the family's 1533-position model. Lineage: Bacteria; Pseudomonadati; Pseudomonadota; Gammaproteobacteria; Vibrionales; Vibrionaceae. The record is from RNAcentral.